ACACACCACAGUUUUGCACAGUUUAUGUCCAAUGUUUAACUUUCCAUCUUAUUUAGAAAAAAAAUAUAAUGAGUAUUUUUUUAUUGUUAUUAGAUGAUAUAACAUGAAUAAUACUUUAUGUGUGACCGAUUUUUUUUUAAAUUUUUUACAAUUUUUGAAAUAAGACGGACAAUCAAACAUUAAACACGGAAACUCACAAUUGCACUUAAA
This is a microRNA precursor of Oryza sativa Japonica Group (Japanese rice), 210 nucleotides long. It matches the Rfam family "MIR812 microRNA precursor family". Lineage: Eukaryota; Viridiplantae; Streptophyta; Magnoliopsida; Poales; Poaceae. The record is from Rfam.